AUGGCUCAGGAUGAACGCUAGCUACAGGCUUAACACAUGCAAGUCGAGGGGCAGCAUUGGGAUAGCUUGCUAUUCAGAUGGCGACCGGCGCACGGGUGAGUAACGCGUAUCCAACCUUCCUGCCAGUAGGGAACAGCCCGGCGAAAGUCGGAUUAAUGCCCUAUGUUCUUCAAUGCGGACAUCUAAGUUGAAGGAAAGAUUCAUCGCUGGCAGAUGGGGAUGCGUCCGAUUAGCUUGCCGGCGGGGUAACGGCCCACCGGGCGACGAUCGGUAGGGGUUCGUGAGAGGAAGGUCCCCACACUGGUACUGAGACACGGACCAGACUCCUACGGGAGGCAGCAGUGAGGAAUAUUGGUCAAUGGGCGUAAGCCUGAACCAGCCAAGUAGCGUGCAGGAAUGACGGCCCUACGGGUUGUAAACUGCUUUUAUGCGGGGAUAAAGUGCGGCACGUGUGCCGCUUUGCAGGUACCGCAUGAAUAAGGACCGGCUAAUUCCGUGCCAGCCGCUGC
This 509-nucleotide ribosomal RNA is filed under the name uncultured bacterium. RNAcentral describes it as "bacterial SSU rRNA". It matches the Rfam family "Bacterial small subunit ribosomal RNA", at positions 19 to 518 of the family's 1533-position model. The record is from RNAcentral.